CCUACGGGUUGCACCAGUGGGGAAUAUUGCACAAUGGGCGCAAGCCUGAUGCAGCCAUGCCGCGUGUAUGAAGAAGGCCUUCGGGUUGUAAAGUACUUUCAGCGGGGAGGAAGGUGUUGUGGUUAAUAACCGCAGCAAUUGACGUUACCCGCAGAAGAAGCACCGGCUAACUCCGUGCCAGCAGCCGCGGUAAUACGGAGGGUGCAAGCGUUAAUCGGAAUUACUGGGCGUAAAGCGCACGCAGGCGGUCUGUCAAGUCGGAUGUGAAAUCCCCGGGCUCAACCUGGGAACUGCAUUCGAAACUGGCAGGCUAGAGUCAUGUAGAGGGGGGUAGAAUUCCAGGUGUAGCGGUGAGAUGUGUAGAGAUCUGGAGGAAUACCGGUGGCGAAGGCGGCCCCCUGGACAAAGACUGACGCUCAGGUGCGAGAGCGUGGGGAGCAAACAGGAUUAGAUACCCCUGUAGUC
Molecule: ribosomal RNA, 465 nt
Filed under: uncultured bacterium
Lineage: Bacteria
Description: bacterial SSU rRNA
Rfam family: Bacterial small subunit ribosomal RNA
Source: RNAcentral